RNAcentral lists this ribosomal RNA (302 nucleotides) under Madurella sp. BAAKUN0801. RNAcentral's name for it is "SSU rRNA". It matches the Rfam family "Eukaryotic small subunit ribosomal RNA", at positions 106 to 411 of the family's 1831-position model. The record is from RNAcentral. Lineage: Eukaryota; Fungi; Ascomycota; Sordariomycetes; Sordariales.
UCAGUUAUCGUUUAUUUGAUAGUACCUUACUACAUGGAUAACCGUGGUAAUUCUAGAGCUAAUACAUGCUGAAAAUCCCGACUUCGGAAGGGAUGUAUUUAUUAGAUUAAAAACCAAUGCCCUUCGGGGCUCUCUGGUGAUUCAUAAUAACUUCUCGAAUCGCACGGCCUUGCGCCGGCGAUGGUUCAUUCAAAUUUCUGCCCUAUCAACUUUCGACGGCUGGGUCUUGGCCAGCCAUGGUGACAACGGGUAACGGAGGGUUAGGGCUCGACCCCGGAGAAGGAGCCUGAGAAACGGCUACU